Molecule: ribosomal RNA, 305 nt
Filed under: uncultured bacterium
Lineage: Bacteria
Description: partial 16S ribosomal RNA
Rfam family: Bacterial small subunit ribosomal RNA
Source: RNAcentral
ACAGCAGUCGCCGCGGUAAUACGUAGGGUGCAAGCGUUGUCCGGAAUUAUUGGGCGUAAAGAGCUCGUAGGCGGUUUGUCGCGUCUGCUGUGAAAACUGGAGGCUCAACCUCCAGCCUGCAGUGGGUACGGGCAGACUAGAGUGCGGUAGGGGAGAUUGGAAUUCCUGGUGUAGCGGUGGAAUGCGCAGAUAUCAGGAGGAACACCGAUGGCGAAGGCAGAUCUCUGGGCCGUAACUGACGCUGAGGAGCGAAAGCGUGGGGAGCGAACAGGAUUAGAUACCCGCGUAGUCCCUGUCUCUUAUAC